This 468-nucleotide ribosomal RNA is filed under the name uncultured bacterium. RNAcentral's name for it is "partial 16S ribosomal RNA". It matches the Rfam family "Bacterial small subunit ribosomal RNA", at positions 28 to 507 of the family's 1533-position model. The record is from RNAcentral.
GAUGAACGCUGGCGGCGUGCUUAACACAUGCAAGUCGAACGGAAAGGCCGAAGCUUGCUUCGGUACUCGAGUGGCGAACGGGUGAGUAACACGUGGGUGAUCUGCCCUGUACUUCGGGAUAAGCUUGGGAAACUGGGCCUAAUACCGGAUAUGACGAUCUCUUGGAUGGGGUUGUGGAAAGCUUUUGCGGUAUGGGAUGAGCUCGCGGCCUAUCAGCUUGUUGGUGGGGUAAUGGCCUACCAAGGCGUCGACGGGUAGCCGGCCUGAGAGGGUGUACGGCCACAUUGGGACUGAGAUACGGCCCAGACUCCUACGGGAGGCAGCAGUGGGGAAUAUUGCACAAUGGGCGCAAGCCUGAUGCAGCGACGCCGCGUGGGGGAUGACGGCCUUCGGGUUGUAAACUCCUUUCGCAAUCGACGAAGCCUUUUGGUGACGGUAGGUUGAGAAGAAGCACCGGCUAACUACGUG